GAUGAACGCUGGCGGCAUGUUUAAGGCAUGCAAGUUAAAGGAGUGUAGCAAUACAUUCCUGGCAAACGGGUGCGUAACACAUUGGUAAUCUGCCUCCGUCUCGAGUAUAACCCCGCGAAAGCGGGGACAAUCCUCGAUAGUCAUGAGGGGUCGCGAGACAUUCUCAUGUAAAGACCGCAAGGUCGGAUGGAGAGGAGCCUAUGGCCCAUCAGCUAGUUGGUAGGGUAAUGGCCUACCAAGGCUAUGACGGGUAGCGGGUGUGGGAGCACGACCCGCCUCACUGGGACUGAGACACUGCCCAGACUCCUACGGGAGGCUGCAGUCAAGAAUCUUCCUCAAUGGGCGAAAGCCUGAAGGAGCAAUGCCGCGUGAUCGAAGAAGCCCCUCGGGGUGUAAAGAUCUUUUAUCAGGGACGAAUUUUGACGGUACCUGAUGAAUAAGCCACUGCUAACUUCGUGCCAGCAGCAGCGGUAAUACGAAGGUGGCAAGCGUUAUCCGGAAUGAUUGGGCGUAAAGCGUCCGCAGACGGUUUGGUGUGUCUUCUGUCAAAUCCUGAAGCUCAACUUCAGGGCUGCAGGGGAAACUACCUGACUAGAGGCUGGAAGAGGCAAGCGGAAUUACCGGUGUAGCGGUAAAAUGCGUUAAUAUCGGUAAGAACACCAAAUGCGAAGGCAGCUUGCUGGAACAGAUCUGACGUUCAUGGACGAAAGCGUGGGGCGCGAAUGGGAUUAGAUACCCCAGUAGUCCACGCCGUAAACGAUGGGUACUGAGCAUUGGGAGUAUCGACCCUCCCGGUGUUGUUUAAUUAAGCUAACGCCGUAAGUAC
Molecule: ribosomal RNA, 826 nt
Filed under: uncultured bacterium
Lineage: Bacteria
Description: bacterial SSU rRNA
Rfam family: Bacterial small subunit ribosomal RNA
Source: RNAcentral